CAGCGCAGCCCUACUUCCGCUCGCAGCUGCUUGGCGCUUCCCGCGCACGACCUCUUCCGGCGCGGCGUGGGACGUACUUCCGGCGGAGCGGCAUUGGCGGACUGUGAUGGGUGGCGCGGGCCGCUGCUCGCGCGGAGGGCGGGCGCUGUGGUCUUGAGGCGCAGCGGCGCUGGACGAGAACAGCAUCCCAAAAGGGAGUCAACACAACAGAUAAGCAAACCCCUGUGAUCACUCACAAGGAGACAAACCAAAAUAAAGAGACAGAAGAAGACCACGGCCUUCCUCUCCACGACCACCAGAGAGCUUCAGACGACCCCCCCAGCAACUCACACAUGCGCGGGACGCACCGGGAGAUUACAACGCAGACUAUAAGGGGGGGGACUGUGUGUGAGGGAGGCGCGCGCCGUUGGCGGAGCUGAGACUCCCCGGCCGCCCAGCGCUGUUUUGCUUGUGGCUGCUUAAAUAAAUUGUUCACAUGAUUUAACAAA
This is a long non-coding RNA of Rhea pennata, 488 nucleotides long. RefSeq lists it as uncharacterized. Lineage: Eukaryota; Metazoa; Chordata; Aves; Rheiformes; Rheidae. The transcript is spliced from 2 exons. The record is from RefSeq and is a predicted model, not a curated record.